GCGCAGCAGGCGAGAAACUUCACACUGUGCGAAGCACGAUGAGGGAAUCCCAAGUGCUUGCACGUAAGUGUAAGCUGUUUCUCUGUUUAAAACGCAGAGAGAGUAAGGGCUGGGUAAGACGGGUGCCAGCCGCCGCGGUAAUACCUGCAGCUCAAGUGGUGACCGUUAUUAUUGGGCCUAAAACGUCCGUAGCCGGUUUAAUAAAUGCCUGGGUAAAUCGUGUAGCUUAACUAUACGAAUUCCGGGUAGACUGUUAAACUCGAGACCGGGAGAAGUUAGAGGUACUCCUGGGGUAGAGGUGAAAUUCUGUAAUCCUAGGGGACCACCAGUGGCGAAGGCGUCUAACUAGAACGGGUCUGACGGUGAGGGACGAAGCCCUGGGGCGCAAACGGGAUUAGAUACCCCCGUAGU
Molecule: ribosomal RNA, 411 nt
Filed under: uncultured microorganism
Description: bacterial SSU rRNA
Rfam family: Archaeal small subunit ribosomal RNA
Source: RNAcentral